AUUGAACGCUAGCGGGAUGCUUUACACAUGCAAGUCGAACGGCAGCGCGGACUUCGGUCUGGCGGCGGGUGGCGAACGGGUGAGUAAUGUAUCGGAACGUGCCCAGUAGCGGGGGAUAACUACGCGAAAGCGUAGCUAAUACCGCAUACGCCCUACGGGGGAAAGCAGGGGAUCGUAAGACCUUGCACUAUUGGAGCGGCCGAUAUCGGAUUAGCUAGUUGGUGAGGUAACGGCUCACCAAGGCGACGAUCCGUAGCUGGUUUGAGAGGACGACCAGCCACACUGGGACUGAGACACGGCCCAGACUCCUACGGGAGGCAGCAGUGGGGAAUUUUGGACAAAGGGGGCAACCCUGAUCCAGCCAUCCCGCGUGUGCGAUGAAGGCCUUCGGGUUGUAAAGCACUUUUGGCAGGAAAGAAACGUCGCGGGCUAAUACCCCGUGGAACUGACGGUACCUGCAGAAUAAGCACCGGCUAACUACGUG
RNAcentral lists this ribosomal RNA (484 nucleotides) under uncultured bacterium. RNAcentral describes it as "partial 16S ribosomal RNA". It matches the Rfam family "Bacterial small subunit ribosomal RNA", at positions 30 to 507 of the family's 1533-position model. The record is from RNAcentral.